Molecule: small RNA, 31 nt
Filed under: Bombyx mori (domestic silkworm)
Lineage: Eukaryota; Metazoa; Arthropoda; Insecta; Lepidoptera; Bombycidae
Description: ovarian small RNA-8561
Source: RNAcentral
UGCCGCACGAGGCGACCGGCGACGACGCUAU